ACUUGUGUAAAUAUCUUAGAUAUUUACUUAGGAAGAGUUUAGAGACUUAAUUGUAGCCGUCGGAUCAAAUUGAUCCCAACCAUCCAUUUAGGUAGCCAACUAGUAUAAAUAGGCACCUUAGGCAUUUCAUUUGGCAUCAAGAAAUCAAGCAAAGUUGUAAGCAUUCAAAGCAUUGUAAAGUUCUCGAAGUUCUCUCAAUAAAAGAGUUCUUUCUUCCAACUACUAGUUUCCUUCGCCAAGUUUCUACAAGCUUAGUCUUUCUUAAGUUCUACUAAGCUUCCCGGUAGGCUGACUAGCUAACUUUGGCAUUGAAAGUUCGCUAGGCCGGAUAGAUCGUCGUGUUUGAGUUACGAUAGUCUUUCGUAAGUUCUACUAAGCUUCCGGGU
This 386-nucleotide long non-coding RNA is filed under the name Nicotiana benthamiana. RNAcentral describes it as "long non-coding RNA (NBEN_LNC041786)". Lineage: Eukaryota; Viridiplantae; Streptophyta; Magnoliopsida; Solanales; Solanaceae. The record is from RNAcentral.